GAUGAAGAACGUAGUGAAAUGCGAUAAGUAAUGUGAAUUGCAGAAUUCAGUGAAUCAUCGAAUCUUUGAACGCACAUUGCGCCCGUCAGUAUUCUGGCGGGCAUGCCUGUUCGAGCGUCAUUACGCCCCUCAAGUCCCCUGUGGACUUGGUGUUGGGGAUCGGCGAGGCUGGUUUUCCAGCACAGCCGUCCCUUAAAUUAAUUGGCGGUCUCGCCGUGGCCCUCCUCUGCGCAGUAGUAAAACACUCGCAACAGGAGCCCGGCGCGGUCCACUGCCGUAAAACCCCCCAACUUUUUAUAGUUGACCUCGAAUCAGGUAGGACUACCCGCUGAACUUAAGCAUAUCAAUACGCGGAGGA
RNAcentral lists this unclassified non-coding RNA (358 nucleotides) under soil metagenome. Its description in RNAcentral is "partial contains 5.8S ribosomal RNA, internal transcribed spacer 2, and large subunit ribosomal RNA". The stretch from base 1 to 120 matches the Rfam family "5.8S ribosomal RNA", at positions 35 to 154 of the family's 154-position model. The record is from RNAcentral.